Molecule: non-coding RNA, 346 nt
Organism: Plectropomus leopardus (leopard coralgrouper)
Lineage: Eukaryota; Metazoa; Chordata; Actinopteri; Perciformes; Serranidae
Source: RefSeq, a predicted model, not a curated record
AACACAGAAUUAGCCGACGCAGGAAGUCAAACCCGAUAUAAACCUGUAGAAAGUCCUCACUCAUGCAACAGUGGAUCGUGACUGGUUACUGCCACCAUCAUUGACAUGGCGCUGGAUUUCAGGGACAUUUGAAUUCAAGGAGCGCCGCUGGUGACUCCGCAGACCCCCUGCAUGAUGCAUCUGAGUACAGCCACAUCUCUUGUCCUUGAAGAGAACCCCUGCAUGUCUGGGCUUCUUUGAAGUGCUUCCCCCACGCUCACACCCACUACUUAUGCUCCGAUUGUGUGUUAUGCAUCUGCAAUAAAUGACCUACAUACUACAUAAGACAUCCAACAGUGGCACAUUU